UCUUGGGUGCCAACAUUUACCGGCAUGAAUGUAUGUGGCAAAUUGUUACAUACCUUCCAUCUAGGCUGCACAGAGAAUGCCUAGCGGAUACCUGGAAGCUAGUGAUGAGCGGCAGGGGCCAUAUUCGAAUUUGCGAUAUUUCGCAAAUAUAUGGAUGAAUAUUCGUCUUUUGUUCGGGAAAUUCACAUAUUCACUAUGUUUGUUCACUUCUUUUUCCCAUGCGAAAAAUCGUAAUGAAAUUCGCAUAGUGCGCAUGCGCGAUAAGGACGUGGUCUAGUUCUGCAACUGGUUUGAACUAAACAAAGUUUCCAUCCACUGGAAAAUAUGGUUGGCAGCAUGUUUCACAAGAGGGAGGAAAUCUUGAUCUAUCGCUUUUUGCAGCGGGGCUAUGACCAGACCCGGGUCCAAGCCGAGAAACAGGCUAAGGUGAAAGGCCUCAAAGCUAAGCUGUAUGCAAAGUACAAAAGGAAGCACCACAGAAUGGCCAUAUUAAAAAAAAGUGGUCAGAUUUGAAGAGGACUAUGGAUCUGAUCACAAAGAUCUGGGACACCAAAUGCCAAGGUGCAGGCUCCUAUAACACCAGUAUGACGACAUCUCCAUUCAAUCAACAGGCUACACCCCCCCCCACAGGGCCUACAACCCCAUUUUGGUCCCUUGGACCCAAAAAGUCGCUGCACUGACUGUCCUCUGUGAUGACUAUGGACCAACAUGUCUCUAAGGUUUUUUGAUCUCCGGUAAGUAAUUGAAGGUUGAUGUGAUAUAUAU
Long non-coding RNA from Hyla sarda, 765 nucleotides. RefSeq lists it as uncharacterized. The transcript is spliced from 4 exons. The record is from RefSeq and is a predicted model, not a curated record. Lineage: Eukaryota; Metazoa; Chordata; Amphibia; Anura; Hylidae.